UUUGGGGACAUAUCUUUAAAUGAUAUAUCCCUUCUCAGCUUCUUUUUCUCUCUCUCCCUCUGCUUUAUGGUUGCUGUAUGAUGAUUCUGUCUUGGAGCUGGCCAACUGUGGACUGAGACAUCUGAAACUGUAAACCCAAGAAAGCAGCUGUUGCAGGGAGAAAUGCCUUACUGGAAGAGCAUGGACCAGCACCUUGACCUAUGGAGACCUGACUCAGUGGCCCUAUCCCACCUGACAUAAGGCAGUGUCCCUGAAGGUGCAUAGUGUUUCCAGUUCUGAAGGUCAGAAGUGUGAGACCAAGGAAUCUGCAGGCCUGAGACUGCAAGG
Heterocephalus glaber (naked mole-rat) is the source of this 327-nucleotide non-coding RNA. Lineage: Eukaryota; Metazoa; Chordata; Mammalia; Rodentia; Bathyergidae. The record is from RefSeq and is a predicted model, not a curated record.